RNAcentral lists this ribosomal RNA (466 nucleotides) under uncultured bacterium. Its description in RNAcentral is "partial 16S ribosomal RNA". It matches the Rfam family "Bacterial small subunit ribosomal RNA", at positions 30 to 507 of the family's 1533-position model. The record is from RNAcentral.
CGAACGCUGGCGGCGUGCUUAACACAUGCAAGUCGAACGGAAAGGCCCUGCUUUUGUGGGGUGCUCGAGUGGCGAACGGGUGAGUAACACGUGAGUAACCUGCCCUUGACUUUGGGAUAACUUCAGGAAACUGGGGCUAAUACCGGAUAGGAGCUCCUGCUGCAUGGUGGGGGUUGGAAAGUUUCGGCGGUUGGGGAUGGACUCGCGGCUUAUCAGCUUGUUGGUGGGGUAGUGGCUUACCAAGGCUUUGACGGGUAGCCGGCCUGAGAGGGUGACCGGCCACAUUGGGACUGAGAUACGGCCCAGACUCCUACGGGAGGCAGCAGUGGGGAAUAUUGCACAAUGGGCGGAAGCCUGAUGCAGCAACGCCGCGUGCGGGAUGACGGCCUUCGGGUUGUAAACCGCUUUCGCCUAUGACGAAGCGUGAGUGACGGUAAUGGGUAAAGAAGCACCGGCUAACUACGUG